RNAcentral lists this long non-coding RNA (8259 nucleotides) under Glycine max (soybean). RNAcentral describes it as "long non-coding RNA (GMAX_LNC001332)". Lineage: Eukaryota; Viridiplantae; Streptophyta; Magnoliopsida; Fabales; Fabaceae. The record is from RNAcentral.
AUCUUUGUGUUAUAUAGUGUGUUGUCCCGAUUAAUUUCUCCAUUUUAAUUUUCAUAUUUUUUUUGUUGUCUCUUCUGUCUUUGCUGUUUUUCAUAAUUGUGUUUCUAGGCUUAUUUUUGGAAUGGCUCAUUUUAGAGAAUAAGCUUCUUGAUUGUGCCUUUUGCUUUAUUAUAUUGUUUUGGCAAUGAUAUUGAUAUAGUAAUAGCAUAGGCAAUUGGAUAUCCUUUUGAAGAAUACUUCACACGUAAAUUGGAUGUUGCAAUGUUAGUUGUAGAGUUUUUUGACAAAUAUUUUGCCAGUUAAAAUCCAAAGACCAUAUCCAAUGUUUUGGAAAUAUAUAUGGUGAAUGUGCACCUAUCCCCUAUUUACUAUGCUAAUUUAACUUAAAGUUUUUUGGUCUUGUAAGAAAACAAAUGCAAAGAGAAAAAUGAAAAGGAAGCAUAACUAGAUUUUAAUGGUGUAAAUCAUGGUUGUAUUGUAGCUGAGUGGACUUUAUUUAGCACAAAUCAUAGUUGGGUCUUAUGACAAUGUUUUACAAUCUUACAAUUGAAUUGAUAUUGUAUCUGUUACCUGUAUAAUGCUGAUCAUACUUGUUCAAUCACAUUCUGACAAGUACACCUUGAUUCAUACCUCCAGCUAUAUGAAAAAAAUUCUGGAAUUGUUUUUGAACAAUUUUCUUUUAAAUAUUUGGAUACCAGGAAUACUCUAUCUAAUUAUAUUGUUGGAUGUUUUCACUUGUGAAUGUGAACAGGCUGGUAUCGUGAAGAAGGAUCAUAUCAAGAUUCAUGGUUUCUGAGCGAUUGGAGUCUCAAGUGGCAAGCCUUAUCUGCCUGACUAUGUGUUAGGCAUAAUAGAUAGAUAAUCGGAGUUGUGUAUGUGAUUGUGGUAUUUCUGAUCUGUUCUUAUGUUUUACUAUGUGAUGUGGGAUUAUGGAUUUCAGAACAUUGCGUGUUAUUUGCUUUGAAGACAAAUAUGAAAACAGUUCAAUGGACCUCCUAUUCGAUCUUAUUUCAUUUAGAAUUUAAUAAUAAUUAAAAAAAAACUGUAACUUUUAAGGCUCGAGCUCUUGUAAGUUGUCGCUUCAAAAUACCCCUUUUGAAAGAGAUUCAAACGAACUAUAAGAUUAUUGCUAAUUUCAGGGCACAAAUUCGAUUUUCAUUUUACACUCACGUCAUUAUUAGGUAUUUGAGCAUUUGAAAAUUUCUUUAGAAGGUGGCUUUAGAGAUCUUUUGCAUCAAGUUUAUUGUUAUUUCCCAGCAUUAAAAUAAGGAACUUGGAAAUAUUACGUGGAAAGUGUUUAUCGAUAUAAUUUGUACCUUAACACUGUAAAUUAAGUCUAGAAGUGUAAUCAGAAUCCUAGCUGACUAAUCAAAUGCCCAUCUAGAUUGGUGUUCUAUUUAGUAUGGUAAUUCAUUGAUAGUGGACUACCUGGUCGUCAAGAAGUUCUUUUAUAGAUAAUGCGGGUAAAAAGUUGGUUUUAUUGAGUUAUUCCUCUUGAAAGUUACCAGUAACUCAUUGAUAUGGACUAACUGAUUGCCAAGAACUUCUUUGCAAGAUAAAUCGGGUAAAUAAAUUAAAAUGGUUUUAUUGAGACAAUUGCUCUUGAAGAAAAUAGAGAUAUGCUCAAAAUUUUAAGACGUUUUUGUAUUUAAUGUAACACUUUGUUAUAUAAGUGAGAAAUGUAAAAUUAUUCAUCAAUUUGAUCGGCUAAUUUAAUUUCUUCUAAGAAAAUUGAAGAAUUUAAAGUUGUACAUCCUUCGGGUUGGAUCUCCAUCUGAACCGAUCCACAUCGAUACUAAUUUGUCUAUAAUCAUAUUGUGAUAUAGUUGGGAUUGAAUACUCUAAUAUAUUUGGAGAACAGGAUUUUAACACGUCUUGAUAUAUGUAACAACCCUCAACCUUUGAAUAUUGAGAGGAUGAAGGAAUCUAGACAAACGAACUAACAUAUAAGAUCUAAUUGUAACCAAAGAAGACAUGUUAAGCAAUACAUUUCACUUGAAUGUUCUCGACUAGGUCAUCUCCAUAUAUGAGGAAGUUUAUCCUAAAACAUUUUGAUACCCACCAUGGGCCUCAACGAAGUGUUUCCUGAUGCCCUUUGUUUGCUUUGUAUCUAGAUGAGAUUGGUGAUGGUGAGGCCAACGAUGGAGGAGCCAAGGAGGUGAUGGAGGAGUUGAGGAGGUGAUGUAGGAGUUGCAAACAAUGAAGGAACAUCAUGAGGAUUCAAGGAGAAUUUCUCUUGAGGCAUUGCAAGCAAACUAAGUGUUGCAGGUUCCAAAGGAGGAGAUCAAGAGGAGGACAUAUGAGGCCUAAAGGAUGUUGAGAAGCCCUGAGGGUGAGACUAUGGUCAAGCCCCCAAGUGAAUUUUUAGUCCUUCGUGGAGGCAAUCGUAGCUAAAUAGAUCCCCUAACACUACCUGCUUCCCACAGUCACUUGUUAUUAUUGUUCAAAACAUAAUUAAACUAAGCAUAAAAUCUAAAAUUGACCCAAAAAAUUGAAAAUCGCAUAAAAACCAAUGACCAUUGGUUUGGUUUAGUUUUAUAAUUUUCCAAAUUGCGCGGUUUGACAUGCGUAAACAGAAAAAAACCAAAUUGCAUUGUAAACACGCCUAGAAACUAUUGUUGCAAUUAGUGUUUUAUUGUUUAAUAUCUACUUUCUAAGUUUUCAUGGUUGAAAGCAAGUAUUAUGAAUGUUGUUUUUAUUGUUUUUUCUAUCUUCAAUUGUUGAAACUUAGAAGCAAGUAUUAUGUGUUGUUUUUACUUUUAUGUUGAAUGAUUAUUUUUAAGUAUUAUUCAACUUGAAAACGAUAACUAUUUUACUUUAAGUUCACUUGUUAGAAACUUUUGUUAUUGAUUUAUAUUGUUGAUUGUUAAACUAGUUAUUAAUCAAGUUUUGUUUAAUUAAUAACAAAAAUUUUAAACAUUUUUAAUACCUACAAGAAGUAUUUUCAAAUUGAAAAAAUUGAGUCAAACCAAAUCACAAAAAAAUGGUUUGGUUUGGAUUUCAUAAAUAAUUUAAACCAAACCAAAUCAUACCACACUUAAUUUUCUUAUUUGGUUCAUACUAAUUUGAAGUCAAAAUUGCAUCAAGUCGCAUUGCAAACAUCCCUAAAGGUUAUGAUGGUACCUAGGAUCCUGUUAAACAUGUGAAGAAUUUUCAAGCUCAUAAGUGGAAAAAGAGAUGCAAUGGGAUGCAAGAUGUUCGUCGAGGAAGAGUUGUGGAUCGUGGAUGAUGUCAGUUUCAAUGGAGACACGACAAAUUCACCGUCGUAGAUGUCGUGGUGGCCUUCGUCGCUAAUGACAGUGACGACGACAUUACCUUUUCACCCAUUCAUCACACUCUACUUCUUGAACUCAAUGAACAAAUAUAAUAGCCGACUCACCUUCAACAUCUUUGUUCCUAAGAAACGCUCCACAAACUUCAUAACUGAAUCAAACACGGUUUUGGUUUUGCAAAAAAACAAAAAACUAAAAUUGUGUGAUUAAACUCUGAUCUAGAAAUUAUGUGUUAAGAGUUAGUGAGGACCAAAGCUAUAAAUUAGAUUUGUAAAAGUGAGUGUUGCAAGAACGCAUUAAGAGUCUCUACAGGGUGAGUCAUAGCUUGAAAUUGGGUACUACAAGAAAGUUUGGGUAUCGCAAAGAGGAAAUGGUUUGCGGCAGGGGGCAAAAAGAUGGAGUUUUGAGAAGAAAAUGUGCAAUUAGUGUGGAUAAGAUCAAGAUCUGGACUCAAUACUAUCUUCCUCCAUUGAGGUUUAGACUUAGAUUUGGAACCAAAACCACCUUCAUUCGUUGAUUCGAUCCAAACACCAUCUUUAUCUUUUUCGAGCGAAACAAUGGCAACGAACCCAUUUGUGCCUUCAAAAUCUGACCUGAACCAAAACUUAAGUUUGGUGCCCUUUUCGUACUUCGAAGUCAUAAAUGAGUUAGAGAUAUUCUUCAACACCAACCACAAUGACAAGAUCUUUGCCGACAAGCUUGACAACAUGCUUCGAUUUCUCGAAACUGACAUCUUGUUGGAGGACCUCCACUACAUCAUGGACGACAUCAAAAUCAACUGCAACAACUUCUUCAGCCUCUUGCCACUGUGCGUGUUUGCAAAGUUCUAGAUGUCAAGGGUUGCGGUAUUAUGUUUCACAUAGAGAGUUAGGGUGCGUUUGAUUAGCUAAAAAAUAAGGGACUAUGAUGGAAGCUUGCUUGUGGGGCUUCUAUGGAGGCUGAAUCUUUGAGCUUCAUUGGGGUCCUUUAAUGGUGAUUUUCCACCAUGGAGAUGCAGCGGAAGACAAAGGAAAAGAGGUGAGAGGAGGCGCCAUCCAUUAAGGAAUAAGCCAUGGAAGAAGGAGCUUCACCACCAAGAUGAGCCUUGGAUAAGAAGCUUGGAGAGGAUGCUUCAAUGGAGGAAAAGAAAGAGGGAGAGAAAGAGAGAGGGGGAAGCACGAAAUUGAAGGAAGAAAAAGGGAGAGAAGUUGAACUCUGAGUUGUGUCUCACAAGACUCUCAUUCAUCAAAGUUACAACAAGUGUUACACAUGCUUCUAUUUAUAGACUAGGUAGCUUCCUUGAGAAGCUUUCUUGAGAAAACUUUCUUGAGAAGCUUCUUUGAGAAAACUUCCUUGAGAAGCUAGAGCUUAGCUACACACACCCCUCUAAUAACUAAGCUCACCUCCUUGAGAAGCUUCCUUGAGAAGAUUCCUAAAAAAGCUAGAGCUUAGUUACACACACCCCCUAUAAUAGCUAAGCUCACCCCCAUGCCAAAAUACAUGAAAAUAUAAAAAAAAAUCUCUAUUACAAAGAUUACUCAAAAUGCCCUGAAAUACAAGGCUAAAACCCUAUACUACUAGAAUGGCCAAAAUACAAGGCUCAAAAGAAGGAAAACCCAAUUCUAACAUUUACAAAGAAGAAUGGAUCCAACCUUGACCCAUGGGCUCAAAAAUCUACCCUAAGGUUCAUGAGAACCUUAGGGCCUUCUUUAGUAGCUCUAGCCCAAGCCUCUUGGAGUCUUCUAUCCAAUACCCUUGGGGGGUAGGAUUACAUCAGACUAGACAAUUCAAAAAAUAUUUGUCCAACAUUUGAUUUAAAAAAUGACUGAGGGAUAGGACAAAAUAAAGAAGGAUGGACUGGAUGAAUACCCAAAAACUUGUAACUCACUAAACUUCCAUACAACUUUUUGUCUAGUGUCUAACAAAAGUAAAAAUACAAUACUAUUCCUAUUUUUGACUUUUCAUUAUUUCACACCUUCUUUCUUAUUCCAUAUGCGCCUCAUUCUCCAAAUAUUAACAAGCUCAUCGCCCUCCUAUCCAUCAUCGUGCUGGAGCUCUCCCAAUUCGCCUCCACCAUACCCCUUAUCGUGGAUCUCUCAGACCACUCCUCCCUCUCCAUUCUCUUCGUCCCCAACACCUACCUCGCUGCCGACGACCACCACUUCUCCCCGACCACCUUCAUCGACGCCAAUCGCUACCACUUCCUCCUCCAAUUCCUUUCUUGGUCCGACCUUUGCGUCUUCCCCCUUGGCAAGCUCAUCACCACACUUCUUCAAAUCACCGCCCGUGCUACCAACAAUUUCAGUUUCGUGAACCUCAUCUGCGACUCUCAUUCUAAUGUCAUCUCAAUCCGGUUUCCCGCGACUCUUAAUCUAAUGUUUUCCAUUAAUGGACAUUAGCUAAUAUUUUUAAUGGAAAACAUAAAAAAUGACUAAAAGAAAACUCUUAAUAUAACUUAUUAAAAUAUAUAUUUUUUAAAUUUAUAAAAUGACAGUGAAAUAUAAUAAAUCAAUAGUAAUAUUUAAUUUAAUAAAAAUAUUUAAACAUAAAUCUUAUUAUUUUAAAAUUAAUUUUACAAAAUUAAUUUAUUUAAAAUCAAUUUUAUGAAUGCUGAUAUAAGUAUCGACUUUAUUCCCUGUUUUUCGGAUCAUAACACGUGACACGCGUGCUUCUUGCGAUAUCUUCACUAUUAAAUAUCUGUUCUUCCAACCAUAACCACACCACACCGAGUCGCAGAAAAAGAAAAAAGCGAUCAUAGUUUCACUUCGGCCUUAUCCAGUUUAGGGUUUCGGUUCUCUACCCUAUCUUUCACGUAUCGAAACCUUAAAUUUACGAUCAGGUAAUCUCCGAUCAUUUUUUCUCAGAUUUGAUUUAUCUUCCGCGCUAAUUUUAGGGUUCGACUUUCGCUUUGUCUCCCAUGAUCUAAGUUUGACUCAAUUUUCUUUUCUGCUUUUUUUCCCCGUUACCGUACAUUUUUUUUGGGGUUCGAUAUAUUUUUUAUCAGAUCUUUCAGCUAUAAAUCGUGUAUUUGUUGUUAGUGAAAAGUGUUUUUUUUUUCCUUUUCCUAAUUCAGUAUUUCAUUUUGAUUUAAGUGUACGAUGAUUUUUGAGUUAUGGGCUUUUUUUUUCUGUGAUAACUUUUUGACGGUGUGGUUGCUAGAUUGUCACCAUGAACUAUAUCAAUUUUAAGUCAAAACCUGUAAUCUAGGAAAGCAUUCUGUUUUAUGCUGCUGAGAUCUUUUGAAUGUAUCUAAAGUUGAAACUAAUUGUGGGAUUUUUUUAAUCGCUUUCAUUUUAAAUCAUUCAGUUGCAUUAUUUUUGGUGUUUUUAAUUUGAAGCAAAGGUAAUUAGGUAGGCAAUUUUUAAUACAUGGGAUGGUCAUUGCUGAUAUCUUCUUUCGUUUGGUGUGUUGAAGAUUGUUUUGAUGCGAUGAUUAAUGACACUGGUUUUGCUUUUGAAUUUUUGUAAAGUUUGCUAUUAUAGUAAUUCAAUUUAACUAACAUGUUGAUUUUAUUUUCAGGUCUGAGCAAUCUGGUUGGUAGAACCUUUGGUCUUAGUGAGUCAAGUUUUAUGUCUGAAUUAGACGAUCAAAUUCCUACUGCCUUCGGUAUGUUCUGAUCUUUCUCCAUGGAAUAAAUAUCAGUUGAUUAUAUAUGUAAUUAGCGUAGUGUGUUUUUUCUAAAUAUGUUUUCCUCUCUUAGUUCUUUGGGUUAUCUGUACUUGUAGAAUACGGUACCUAUUGUUUAACUUCACUAUGUCAAACUGCUCUAACUUUUAUGUUUUACUCUAGUAAUUUGUACCUUAUAGGUACUUAGUUAGUGUGAUUGAAUGUAAUAUAUAUUAUAUAUUAUAUAAUGUUUUUGCUGUCUGUCCUCAAUUUUUAGAUCCUUUUGCUGAUGCAAAUGCUGAUGACUCGGGUGCUGGGUCAAAGGAGUAUGUGCAUAUUCGUGUACAGCAGCGAAAUGGUAGGAAAAGCCUGACAACCGUUCAGGGAUUGAAAAAGGAAUUCAGCUAUAACAAGAUACUUAAAGACGUCAAGAAAGAGUUCUGUUGCAAUGGAACAGUUGUUCAGGACCCAGAACUAGGACAGGUCUGUGUUGUUGACAUCCUCCUAUUAAACAAUUAUCUAUCCCUUGUUGCUUAAUGUAGCACUUGUUUGUGGUUGUAGGUUAUUCAACUUCAAGGUGAUCAGAGGAAGAAUGUUUCUACCUUCCUAGUCCAGGUAACUAUAGUCUCAUGUUUGUGUUAUAUAGCGUCUUGUCCUGAUUAAUUUCUCCAUUUUAAUUUUCAUAUUUUUUUCUUGUCUUUUCUUGCUUUGCUAUUUUUCACAAUGGUGUUUCAUGGCUUAUUUUUGGAAUUACUCAUUUUGAGAAUAAGCUUCUCAAUUUGCCUUUUGCUCUGAUAAAGAGUGUAAAUUUUAUUUAACCUAAAAGUUUUUUGGUCAUGUAAGAAGAAAAAUGUAAACAGAAAAACGAAAAGGAAGAAUGUAAAAAGAAAAACGAAAAGCAAGCAACAGUAGAUUUUAAUGGUAUAAAUCAUGGUUGGAUUGUCGCUGAAUGAGUUUUGUUUAGCACAAAUCAUAGUUGGGUCUUAUCACAAUGUUUUGCAAUCUUAUAAUUUAAAUUGAUUGUAUCUGUUACCCUCUAGAAUGCUUGAUCAUACUUGUUCGAUGACAUUUUGAUAAGUACACCUUGAUGCAUACCUCCAGCGAUGUGAAAUCUAAUCUGGAAUUGUUUUUGAACAAUUUUCUUUGAAAUAUUUGGAUACCAGGAUCCUGUAUCUAAUUAUCUUGUUGGAUGUUUUCACUUGUGAAUGUGAACAGGCUGGUAUCGUGAAGAAGGAUCAUAUCAAGAUUCAUGGUUUCUGAGCGGUUGGAGUCUUAAGUGUCAAAUUUUACCUGCCUGACUAUGUGUUAGGCAUAAUAUAUAAUCUGAGUCGUGUGGAUGUGAUUGUGGUAUUUCUAAUGUGUUCUUAUGUUUUACCAUGUGAUGUGGGAUUAUGGAUUUCAG